This 1119-nucleotide long non-coding RNA is filed under the name Phascolarctos cinereus (koala). Its description in RNAcentral is "lncRNA (ENSPCIG00000015142.2)". The record is from RNAcentral. Lineage: Eukaryota; Metazoa; Chordata; Mammalia; Diprotodontia; Phascolarctidae.
CGCGCUCUCAGACACACACACACACAUACUGACACACACAUACACACACUGGUUCAGACACAGACACACACACGCACUAGCGCACACUCACGCCUGUACACCAGCGUGCACACUCACAGACACCCAUACCCAAACACUGGCAGGCACACAGUCCUCUCUCCUUUCUCUUCUCUUUUCUCCUCUCUCCUUUCUCUUCUCUUUUCUCCUCUCUCCCCUCUUGUCUCUUUCCUCUCUCCCCUCUUUCUCUCUUCCUCGGAGGCGGGCAGGCAGCAGCCUUCUCCCCUCCCCCCCUUUCCUCUGCUGGAAUUCCAUCCGGAUCAGCAGAAGGAGAAGACUUGGGUGAGGGAGCCCUCGCCUCUCUGUUGGAACAAGGCUGGGACAUUGGCCAGGAACGCUGCUGCCGCCUAGACGUGGAGGCCCAGAGCAGAGACGAGAAUCUCUAUCCAUCCUUCCUUCCUUCUGUCCUUCCAUCUUUCCCUCCCUUCCAGACUGUCCUGCUCACUCUGAAACCUGGGAUCCCUGUGCUUGGGGGGCCAAAGACAGAGGAGGACAGAGCCGAGGUCUGGCCAAGGAUUCGGUGCAUCUGGGGAGGAGGCAGUGGCUGCCAAUGACCGUUCAGGGGCAUUAGCAUUCUGAGGAUCUCCUUGACCAGAUGUGAGCAGGCAACAAACACUGUCUCAUAUAAUCACCAGUGAAAAAUCUCUGAAGCUCUGUCUCUGGCCCUGGGAGAAAAAUUCAAAAGAAUUUCUUCCUGCCACUGCCCAGAAACUGGAGAUCUCUUCCAUACCCUGAAGGAGGAUUCAGGGCUGGGGACUGAUGCUGCUACUCUUCCUGGGACAUCUUAGGCUCAUCCUCCUCCAGAUCACCCCCCUCUUCUUUCCUGAGGACCUAUCUUUGUUCCAGCUGGAGUGAUGGCCGUCAGAAAUGAGGAGACCUAGUCCUUCUCCUCUGGGAUCUUCCACCCUAGUUCUCAGACUCAUCGCUUGACCUCUGAGAUCAUCAAGCCAGGACUUCACUUUGUUUGUGUCAUGGAAGCUUUGGGAAGUCUGUAGAUCCCUUUUUAGGAUGUUUUUAAAUGCAUAAAAUAAAAUAAAAAGGAAACCAAAGAUGAGUGGAAAA